This 497-nucleotide ribosomal RNA is filed under the name uncultured bacterium. RNAcentral's name for it is "partial 16S ribosomal RNA". It matches the Rfam family "Bacterial small subunit ribosomal RNA", at positions 28 to 507 of the family's 1533-position model. The record is from RNAcentral.
GAUGAACGCUGGCGGCGUGCCUAAUACAUGCAAGUCGAGCGAACAGACGAGGAGCUUGCUCCUCUGACGUUAGCGGCGGACGGGUGAGUAACACGUGGAUAACCUACCUAUAAGACUGAGAUAACUUCGGGAAACCGGAGCUAAUACCGGAUAAUAUAUUGAACCGCAUGGUUCAAUAGUGAAAGACGGUUUUGCUGUCACUUAUAGAUGGAUCCGCGCCGCAUUAGCUAGUUGGUAAGGUAACGGCUUACCAAGGCAACGAUGCGUAGCCGACCUGAGAGGGUGAUCGGCCACACUGGAACUGAGACACGGUCCAGACUCCUACGGGAGGCAGCAGUAGGGAAUCUUCCGCAAUGGGCGAAAGCCUGACGGAGCAACGCCGCGUGAGUGAUGAAGGUCUUCGGAUCGUAAAACUCUGUUAUUAGGGAAGAACAAAUGUGUAAGUAACUAUGCACGUCCUGACGGUACCUAAUCAGAAAGCCACGGCUAACUACGUG